Non-coding RNA from Hydra vulgaris (swiftwater hydra), 792 nucleotides. Lineage: Eukaryota; Metazoa; Cnidaria; Hydrozoa; Anthoathecata; Hydridae. The record is from RefSeq and is a predicted model, not a curated record.
UACAAUAUCACAAAAGAGAUAAAUGCAUUGAAAUACCUAAAACUUCUAUGUGACGUUAUUCAUGGUAUUCAUCUGAGCCGAACGUCCGCAAAAUUUUAUAUCCGCCAUGAUGGGUGGCAUAAAGAUAUGUAAACAAAAGUAAAAAUGGUAAAAACCUGUUGCGCACCAUACUGUGAAACAGAAAAAUUAAAGGUAGCACAAUUCCUUUUCAUAGAUUUCCGAAAAAAGAAGAGCGAAGAAGGUUAUCGAUUGCUUUUUUAAAUAGAAAGAUUUUGCCGAAUUUGGAGUUUGCUUACAUUUGCGGUGAACAUUUUAUUACUGGAUCAGUAAAGUUAAUUUGUGAAAGUGGCAAAUAAGUAACUUCCUAAAGGUUUGGCGGCAACCAAGCACACAAUUGAGAUGUACAAGCAUCACCAUUAUUUCUUUUUCGAUUAUCAGAUGUUAACAUUAAAUAAAAUAAUGUUGCUCCAAUAUGAGAACAGACUUCGCCUAAACCUGCCAUACACGUGCAAUGUGCAUUUAUAAAUUGACCAUCUUCUUGAACGCUAACCCAUACCCUUGUUGUUUUAGAAACAAAUGCACUGACCAUGUCUUACACGACUGUUAACAAUAUAAAUAGACUUAACACCAUGAACUAACUUUACAUUGUGAACACGACCACUGGUUACAUAGUUGUAAGAUUCAAGACCUUUAUAAUAUUUUAAACUAGAACUUGUGAUUUGACUUCGAAAGUUGAUUAGAUAGCUGUAUAUAUCAGCAAAAGAUAGAUUAGGCUAUUUGUCUACGUUAUUA